UAUAUUAUUAACUCUUUAUUAUAGUAAAGCAUUUACAUGAUGAACUGAAAAUUUUAAUUCCAAAUUAUAAAUUAAAAAAAUAAUAAUUUAUAUAUAAAAAAAGAAAGCGAUGUCCCACAUGGUUUUUUCAAGGACUUGGAAGGUGAUGGUUUUCCUAUAAAAGGCGAUCCUCCUCCCUUAACAUUUCAAGCAAAAAGUGAAGUCCAAAUAUUUAUUUUUUAAAAUUAUAUUUAUUCGUAUUAAGUAAUAUUUAUUAUUUUAGUAAUUUAAAUAAAUUUCAUUUAAAUUUUAGUAGUAAAUAAAUAUUAUAUUAUUAAAGAAAAAUAAAUGCAUUUAUAGUAAUAAUUAAUGACAUGAAGAAAUUUAUAUAUAAUGAUAAGAUUAUUUAUUUUUAGAAAAUAUUAUUAGAGACAAAUUUAUUUGAUUCUAAAAGUAAAUUUAGAAAUUUUAGAAUAAACAAUUAAAGUCAAUUUAAUUUGUCUUUAAAUAUGGAUUUAG
Molecule: unclassified non-coding RNA, 498 nt
Filed under: Hevea brasiliensis (rubber tree)
Lineage: Eukaryota; Viridiplantae; Streptophyta; Magnoliopsida; Malpighiales; Euphorbiaceae
Source: RNAcentral